Molecule: long non-coding RNA, 221 nt
Filed under: Medicago truncatula (barrel medic)
Lineage: Eukaryota; Viridiplantae; Streptophyta; Magnoliopsida; Fabales; Fabaceae
Description: long non-coding RNA (MTRU_LNC007466)
Source: RNAcentral
UAGAAUUUGACUAGUUAUAAUUAUGAUUAUAUAUGUUUGAACUAUUGAGGCUUGAUUGAGAUUGACUGAAAUAGAUGAAUAUGGAUUUUUAUUGAACAGUGUGAAGCAUACAGUGUGAAUUGUGAUUAUUGAAUGAAUAUGGAUUGAACGAUAAGGUAUAGGACCUAGUGGAGUGUUAGGUCAUCAUCUAGGUAGGGUCUGACAAACCUAAUAUGAUUGGG